GGGUAAUGGCACAGGAAACGGUGCAGCACGAGUCCGCCAUCCCAGUGGCAACUGUUGACGUGAAGCAAGCCGGGAGCAAC
RNAcentral lists this non-coding RNA (80 nucleotides) under Tripos fusus. Lineage: Eukaryota; Dinophyceae; Gonyaulacales; Ceratiaceae. The record is from RNAcentral.